AGUAGGUAAGAACCGUAUUAAAAGAAUGGAUUCCGUAUUUACCAAGCAAACCGGGGCUAGAAGUGAACCUGUUAUAUUUAAGUAGUUCUUUAUAAAAAGAUAAAAUAAUGAACAGAAAUAUUCUCUUAAUUAGUGUUUUCAUAACCCUUUUGGUGGUGCAAUUAACUACGUGUUGGGAUACCACUAUAAUUAGAAAUCCAGGCUUUAGAUUUAUAUCCGCCCCCGUAAUUACCGAAAAAGAGAAUGAACCUCAAGGGCAGUGGAAACUAUCUAAUACGCACCCUAAUAAAAAAUGCCAAUGCAUGAACUGGAGGGUUUGUGAUGGAGAAAUUGACUCUACAGUUGUGUGCGGUUCACACUACCUUCAAGUUUGCUGUAUAAGAGCGGAAAUACAAACAGUCGUUUACAGAAGAACUGCAGCCAAGAAAUAAUUCUAUUAUAUUGGUAUUUUUAUAUUUAUGUAUGUAUAUGUGUCAAAUAAUAUUUACUUAUACAAAUUUAUAAAACUAAGUAAAGCAACCAAAGACAAUAAACUGGCGAUAAAAAUA
Molecule: long non-coding RNA, 548 nt
Organism: Agrilus planipennis (emerald ash borer)
Lineage: Eukaryota; Metazoa; Arthropoda; Insecta; Coleoptera; Buprestidae
Exons: 3
Source: RefSeq, a predicted model, not a curated record